RNAcentral lists this ribosomal RNA (608 nucleotides) under Streptomyces sp. TAD052. RNAcentral's name for it is "bacterial SSU rRNA". It matches the Rfam family "Bacterial small subunit ribosomal RNA", at positions 56 to 681 of the family's 1533-position model. Lineage: Bacteria; Bacillati; Actinomycetota; Actinomycetes; Kitasatosporales; Streptomycetaceae. The record is from RNAcentral.
UGCAGUCGACGAUGAACCGCUUUCGGGCGGGGAUUAGUGGCGAACGGGUGAGUAACACGUGGGCAAUCUGCCCUGCACUCUGGGACAAGCCCUGGAAACGGGGUCUAAUACCGGAUAUGACUGUCCAUCGCAUGGUGGAUGGUGUAAAGCUCCGGCGGUGCAGGAUGAGCCCGCGGCCUAUCAGCUUGUUGGUGAGGUAGUGGCUCACCAAGGCGACGACGGGUAGCCGGCCUGAGAGGGCGACCGGCCACACUGGGACUGAGACACGGCCCAGACUCCUACGGGAGGCAGCAGUGGGGAAUAUUGCACAAUGGGCGAAAGCCUGAUGCAGCGACGCCGCGUGAGGGAUGACGGCCUUCGGGUUGUAAACCUCUUUCAGCAGGGAAGAAGCGAAAGUGACGGUACCUGCAGAAGAAGCGCCGGCUAACUACGUGCCAGCAGCCGCGGUAAUACGUAGGGCGCAAGCGUUGUCCGGAAUUAUUGGGCGUAAAGAGCUCGUAGGCGGCUUGUCACGUCGGUUGUGAAAGCCCGGGGCUUAACCCCGGGUCUGCAGUCGAUACGGGCAGGCUAGAGUUCGGUAGGGGAGAUCGGAAUUCCUGGUGUAGCGG